Solea senegalensis (Senegalese sole) is the source of this 4979-nucleotide RNA transcript. It is a transcript of the gene named v-crk avian sarcoma virus CT10 oncogene homolog, with no coding region annotated. The record is from RefSeq and is a predicted model, not a curated record. NCBI's taxonomy places the organism in Eukaryota, Metazoa, Chordata, Actinopteri, Pleuronectiformes, Soleidae. The transcript has 4 exons.
GUCUUUUUUUGUUUUCCCGUAUCCGCCAUUUCAGUUUUUGAAGUUAGUUGUCAUCGGCCGCCGUAUUGUAGCUGCAGUUUUGCUGUUAAAACGCCUUGAAUGACAAAAAGAGCUGAAUUCUAACCACAAACCAAAUAAGAGUCCUAUUAUCUCGCGCUUGAGUUCCUGUGUCGGCGAAUUUAUGUCCAAACUGCUGGCUGCGGAUGUCGCCUGUUUACUAAACGUGCUCUAAGCGCUAAAGUUUUUGUAUGAGUUGAAGGCUUUGCUUGCGGAUAACGGGAGGGAGAGCAGGGAAGGCCCGGUGAAGCCUCGGCUUUGGAGUGGUUAUCAUGGCCGGAAAUUUUGACGCGGACGACCGCGGCAGUUGGUACUGGGGUCGGCUGAGAAGGCAGGAGGCUGUGUCUCUGUUGCAAGGGCAGCGGCACGGCGUGUUUCUGGUGCGGGACUCCAUCACCAGCCCCGGCGACUACGUGCUCUCGGUGUCAGAGAACUCCAAAGUCUCGCAUUACAUAAUUAACAGCAUCAGCAACAACAGACAGUCUGGUCCAGGUUUGGUCCAUCCAAGGUUCCGAAUUGGUGACCAGGAGUUUGAGGCACUCCCCGCUUUACUAGAAUUCUAUAAAAUCCACUACUUGGACACCACCACCUUGAUAGAACCUAUCAACAAGUCCAAACACACCUCCUUCAUCAAUGUUGGCGCCGGAGGCGGCCCCACGCCACGCCUGGAAGACGAGUAUGUCCGGGCGCUUUUCGAUUUCCCUGGCAACGAUGAGGAGGAUCUCCCUUUCAGGAAAGGCGAUAUUCUCCGAGUUCUCGAGAAGCCAGAGGAGCAGUGGUGGAACGCCCAGAACUCAGAAGGUCGGGCAGGGAUGAUCCCUGUGCCGUAUGUAGAGAAGUACCGGCCGGCGUCUCCAAGUUCGGUGGUGGGGACUGGCAUUCCUGGGGGACCGCUGGGAGGGAUGGGAAUGUUGGGGAACUCUGACAGCUCUGUGGCUCAGUCUGGCACACCACUUCUGGGUGACCCCAGCCAGUAUGCACAGCCCACUCCUCUCCCUAAUCUCCAGAAUGGACCUGUCUAUGCCAGGGCCAUACAGAAGAGGGUGCCUAAUGCCUAUGACAAGACAGCCCUGGCUUUAGAGGUGGGUGACAUGGUGAAGGUGACCAAAAUUAACGUGAAUGGCCAGUGGGAGGGGGAAUGUAAAGGCAAACGUGGCCACUUUCCCUUCACACACGUCAAACUGCUGGACCAGCACAAUGCUGAGGAUGAACUGAGCUGAGAGCGGUCAGCUGGGCCACAACCUGGACACUAGUAUUAGACCCUUCCUCACCCCUGCUCCCCCACCUGUCAUCCUUUACCACACACUUCACCUUCCUCACAUCUACUCCAGCUUUUACCUGCACCAAGUACAUUUUCAGAGAAUCGCAGAGAGCAAAACAAAAAGCCCUCGUCAUGAACACUCUCCUGCUCUACCCCUCUGAAUAGUUAUGCCUUCUGUCCUCCAACCCCUGCUCUGACUGGCUGGCUGACUUCAGAAUGGGUCAUGAUCUACAGUGGAAAAUGAUCAUCUACUCAGUGUUCUGUUCUGCGGAUGUGUCAACACUGUUUAAGUCCUCGUCAUGUCCCCGCCGUGGACACCUUAUCAACACUCACUCCUCAGGAGACUCCUCGCCACAGAAUUCGGCCACUUCCUCUUCCUGUGUUGGAGCCAGUAGAUAAUGACACUCAGUCAGCACUGUGUCAUUUUUCAUCCUCAUCCAUCAUCACCAUGUUUACGCCACUGUAGGAUCACUCGCACUGCAUUCACGUCAGAUGGAAUACAAAAGGGUCUGAACAGUGAAUAUGAAGCUACCACCUGCAGCUAAUUAUCCCAACAUAAAGACUGGAGGCAGCAGACAUGGCUGCUUAGCUCUUUGUAAAGCUAUCAAAAUUGCCAAUUAAUAGGCAACGUCUCGUUGUUUAAGCAACAUGAAAAUGAAUUGGGCAGUUCACCAUUAUGUACCUUUUUUUUUUGCUGGGAGUAGUUGCCGAGCAACCAGGUAAUCCUAAACCACUCUGCCCUGCAAAAAAAAAUAUGUACUUGUAAAAGCUCAAAUAACUGAAACUAGGAUAUAACUAGCACAUUCUUUUAUCUUUGAGCGGAACCAGGCUACUUAAUCUGCCUCACUAGCAGUGUUUCUGCUACUCUAAGCUAACCACUUGCUGUUAAUAAUUGUGCAAAUAAGAGAGUGUUAUCAAUCUACCAUCGAACACUCCAAAAGAUUGUAAGUGUGCUUCUCGUGCUUCUAUUACAUUUCAUUGUGAUUUUACUUUGACUUUGCAGUGCUUGCCUAGUGAGUGUUGAAUCUUCCACAAAAUCAAAUUUGCAAUGUCUCCACACAAAGAGCAGAUGCAGUUAAUCUCCCCUACAUGCCAUGGCAGUGUUUGUUUUCUUUCUUUCUUUCUUCAUUUUGCCCUUAAAGUUGCAGUAGGCAGGAUCCCUGAAGAAAAUUGUUGAUGUUUUGGAAUCAUGUUGUGUUCAUUGUCAGACUGUCAUUUCAGCUCUUUCCUUGAGCUUUCCUUUUUUAGAUUACUUAUUUACUAGCAUAGGAAACAAUUGGGGACCUUAUGCAGAGAAUGUGUAGUGGACCAGCCAAUAGGAGAAAUCUUUCUGAAGUGCUCUGUGAUUGAUCAGAUUGUACAAUGACACUAUACAUUUAUUUAUAAGGCUCAGAGGUGCAGAAGUGUUCUCUCUUGCUUUACAUGAUGCUGAAAUCAAUCAUUGAACUAUUAAUCAACAUUGUCAAGAAAAAUCCCUGCCUACUGUACCUUAAUGUUUUCCAGAUUCUGAUCACCAAAGUGGUGAUAACUUAAUUGAGGAAUAAGCAUCUUGAACAAUGUUGAAAAUGUUUUCAUCAACUAAUAUUUCUGUAUUUCUGCAGGGCAAGAAAUUUAAUCCAUGUUUGACAAGGUUACCAAUGUGGAGAGGAUGGUAUCUUUUAAAGUUUACAUCUACUUUUGGUCUUCACUCGGAAUGAAUGCAGCGUUAUCUUUGGCACAAGUUAAGAUCGAGCACAUUUUACCACCGAGAACAUAUUUUGUCAAGGUUCGGAGUGAAGAAAAAAGGUGACAUCAAAUGGAAGUGAACAGUCCAGCAUCCAAUCCCUAACACCAAAGUUCAAAAUGGGAUGAAGUCAGCAGCUAGUAGUGACUUGAUGUAGUCUUUGCGGUAGAGAAGGGCCCAAGCAAUGAACCUGAGAAGUUCCAGUCGAGGUGGAGAUAAAGGCAACACUACAUUUAAUCUCUCUUCACCUCCCACUUUUUACUUACCUCAGCCCCUAUCCACCAUUACCUACAACCACCAAGUAGUCUUUUUGUAAGAAAAACAAACAUUAAUAUGAAAUGAUGUACUCUGUGAUUAUCAUUACAUGCUAAAAUAUUAGUUUUCUUUUUUGUCGUUUUUUUCAUAGCUGGGUUUGACUGUGGGGAAUCGCUUUUGAUGAGCGCUUUAGGCCCAGGUCAUACUAUCUGUGUCUACUGACGUUCACCAGGGUCCCCAUGACAAAUUUCAUAAUCCUGGCGCUUGUCGCUGUGGCCCUAGUUUAAAUCAUCACACACCCUGUGGUCUUUGGUCAAAAGAAGCAAUGACAAUGAUAAUAACCCUGGACGCACAGAUGUGGCUUUGCAAGGAAGUCCACUUGUACCCAAACCAAUCGCACAAAUAAAAGAAGGAUAUUAGGACAAACUCCUUGAAAGAAAUCACUAUUCUUGCGUGGAGCGCCAGACUGAAGUUAAACCUUAUUUUAGUCUGAAUAAAACCACAGCUGUUUAGGGGGCAUGCAGAAAUGCAAAGAGUGGACACAGAAUACAGAAAGUAUCACCAGGGCCUUUGUCAAAAGCAAAGUGAUUUGUUCAUGCAAACAUUGAUGAAACUGACUCGCAGUUGGGAUUGGAGGGGUGUGGGAUGACAUCUCUCUCCUUAGCAAAAGAGACUGUUCUGUGUUCACAUCAUGUCAAAUAUGUCCAAGAAAAGAAAAAGUUGUUUUAUUUGGUACAUGUCCUUUGUCUUCAAUUGCCACGUUGCACUAUUUUCUUCUUUUCAGCUUUUGUAUUCGCCUUGUCCAUCUCUCGUUAACCCUCUGCCCUUUUAUUUAAUGCACACACCAUUAUGGACUUUGUUUUACUGUUUGUUUUUAUUUCUGUUUUGCCAAGCCAUUAGGAAAAUUGUGUUGCAGUGCAGAUUGCCCCCCCUCCAAAAAAAAGCUUUUUUGUGUGUAUUUAUGUUGAAUCAAUCAUCUAGUUGACACCUGACAAUCAUCACCCAUUUACAACAUGAAUGAAGCAGACUGCAUAGACAUGAACAGCUUAGUCAUUUGCCUGAGAGAACCUGCUCCUCUACUUCUGGCCUGUGCCGUUGUUCCACCUGUAGGUGGCACUGUUGCAACAUUCAGAAAGAUGGGCUCCGUCAGGAAAGCAUAUUCUACCAGUAAUUAUGAGAUUAAAGAAUGUGAAAUUUGAUUAACUGUAUGCACUUAACUGCGUUUACACUGAAUUUGCAUUGAUUAUACAGUAUGGUUUUCAGUUAGCCUUCAUUGCUUCACAUUUUUUUCUCCUGUUUUUAACUAUUUGGCUGACAUCUUGGAAAAAUCUGCACUCUAGGGAACUAAUUUUUUUUAAUCUGCAUAGUUGUGAUCAAAUCAAGCUUCUUUGUCACUCACGCUGCACAUGGCAAGUGUAUUGAAGAAUCAUCUUGUACGUUUUGUGUUGCCAAUGAAACCACCAAGAAGUAUUUUUUUAUUGGCCCUGCAUGAAGCCAUUCAUUUCCUUUGAUGAAAAGGAAGGGGUGUCAAAAUUCCAGUGGAAAUUUUGUUAAUAUCAAAAUGUGCCAUUUUAUUAUUAUAACACUAUAUUCUUUCAAGACAACGGAAAUUACAUUUUUAUUUUCUGUAGCAUGUAAUGUGGUAAUAUACUAGUAAAUAAAGUCAAACCCAUGACCAGUGAA